Molecule: ribosomal RNA, 531 nt
Filed under: uncultured bacterium
Lineage: Bacteria
Description: partial 16S ribosomal RNA
Rfam family: Bacterial small subunit ribosomal RNA
Source: RNAcentral
GACGAACGCUGGCGGCGUGCUUAACACAUGCAAGUCGAACGGGAAGAAAAAGAAGAGCUUGCUCUUUUUUGGAUUCUAGUGGCAAACGGGUGAGUAACACGUAAACAACCUGCCUUCAGGAUGGGGACAACAGACGGAAACGACUGCUAAUACCGAAUACCUUCCAAUUUCCGCAUGGAGAUAGGAAGAAAGGGUGGCCUCUACUUGUAAGCUAUCGCCUGAAGAGGGGUUUGCGUCUGAUUAGCUAGUUGGUGAGGUAACGGCCCACCAAGGCGACGAUCAGUAGCCGGUCUGAGAGGAUGAACGGCCACACUGGAACUGAGACACGGUCCAGACUCCCACGGGAGGCAGCAGUGGGGAAUCUUCCGCAAUGGACGAAAGUCUGACGGAGCAACGCCGCGUGAACGAUGAAGGUCUUCGGAUUGUAAAGUUCUGUGAUCCGGGACGAAGGCAUCAAUUGAGAAUAUUGAUUGAUGUUGACGGUACCGGAAAAGCAAGCCACGGCUAACUACGUGCCAGCAGCCGCGGUAA